RNAcentral lists this ribosomal RNA (2214 nucleotides) under Metschnikowia lacustris. Lineage: Eukaryota; Fungi; Ascomycota; Pichiomycetes; Serinales; Metschnikowiaceae. The record is from RNAcentral.
AAAUAAGAGAACAUGAUGUUGGUUCAGAUCAAAUGCUAUGUAGAGACAUAACACAUGCAAGUUAUAUAAAUACCACUUAAGGGUGGGAAAAAAUAGCGUUAAGGUGAGUGAUAUAAGAUAAAGAAAAAAUCUUAUUCAGAUGUAGGUAAUAGAUAAAAAUCUAGCCAUGGAACUGGAGCCGACGAUAAGCGUCACAACGGCCACAUUGAUGAAAAUCAACUCUUAUAUAGAGCAGCAGUGGGGAAUCUUUGACAAUGGUCUAACGACUGAUCAAGUUAUCUACGAGAAGGAUAUUAAAUAAAAAUCCCGCUUUGCGGGAUUAUAAUAAAUAAUAAAAGAUUAACUAUAAACUUCUAAAUAAUAGUAAUAAUGAUACUAAUUAUGAAAGAGUCCUAACUAAAAUAUGUGCCAGCAGCUGCGGUGUGCGACAAGAAGCUAUUCUUUAUAAUUCAAAAUCUUAUAUUAUUAUCUCUAUAGAUAUAUAAUAAUGGGCCCCGCCCAUAUAAAUAAGAUAUUUUGACAUAAUUCGUAACAAAUUUGUACCUAUCUAAACAUGCGUAAAAAGUAAUUUUUAGGUUUGAAGCUUUAGAGAAAAUGUAAUUUAUAAUUAAUAUCACUAAAAUUAUAAAUGCUAGGUAAAUUUACUAUGGUUAACUAAAGUUAACUACUCGAUGAGACCUCUUUAGGCUAAAUAUUUAUCGCCUUCAUAUAUAGGCCCGCCUUCGGCGGGCCCAUAUAUAUACUUUAUAAAAGUAUUAUUUUUAUCGAAGCGGGGCGAUACCCGCCCACCGAAGGUGGGCGGGCAUUUGUGAUAUUAUCCUUUUUAUUCUCGUCAUAAUUGGCGGGUUUAUUUAUGAGAUGAUUUUUAAUAUUGUCAGGAGUCUGGAUAGAAUCACCGUAUGUCUAUCCUGUUAUAGACGUUUGUACUGAUAGGGGUAAAGAGUAGAACCUAAGGUAAAUAUAGUGUAAAGAAUGGAACUUGGUAAGCCUCAUAUUUUCUAUAUAAAUAUACCCCCCCCGCCCGUAGGGCGGGGGGAUGAUAAUAACCCGCCCCUUUCAGGGGCGGGAUAUAUUAUGUAUAAAUCAUGUUAUUUAUAUAGAGGUUAUUUAUAAAAUAUAAUAUAUGGAAAUAAUAAUAUCGAAUAGGAGGUAAAAGACAACUUAAAAAGCGAAAGCAAUAAUGUAAUGUUAUUGAUAAGUAAAUAACUAACCUGAAAGGGUGCUGACUUAAGGAAAGGGUGUUUUUUUUUUAAGAAAAUGCCUGAGCCGUAUGCGAUGAAAGUCGCAUGUACGGUUCUAAAGGGGGGAAAAUCUGUGAGGAUCUACCUAUCCUAAUUAGACAUAGAGGGCAAGCAUUGAUCAGAAUGGCUUAAAGGAUCUGUAGAACGUAUCUUAAAAAAGAUAUAGAAUAAUAACUUGAAAAAGGAAGGGUAAUAAGAAUUAAAGUUAGAGGGAUAAAAUACUAAGAAAACAUUAAGACUAUAAGGAGAUUACUCAAGAUUAUUGACGUUGUGAGAUGAAGGCUACGGUAGCGACAUGGAUUCGAUACCCAUUUAGUCGUAGCAGUUAACUAUGAGUACAAUAAAAGAAAAAUGAAAAUGAAUAGUACUCCGCCUGACUAGUACGCUCGCAAGGGUGAAAUACAAGACAUUAGACGGUUGUAGUCCCAAGCAGUGGAACAUGUCAUUUAAUUGGAUGAUCCUCCAAGAACCUUACCAUCUCUUGAAUUUUUAACAGGCGUUACAUCGUUGUCGUCAGUUCAUGCCGUGAGGUUUAAUAUUAAGUUAUUGAAUGAACGUAACCCUUUUCUUUAAUGAUAAGUAUAAUUGUAAAAUUAUAGGAAGUAGAGGUAGAAGACUAAUCAUGAUGACCCUAAUGAGAUGGGCUAUCGACGUGUUACAAUAUUAAUAACAAUUUUAUUAACUUCCCCUUUUUGGGUAAGUUAAGAUAUUUAUAUACUUCGUAUAUUUAUUAAAUAUUAAGAUUAUGACAUAGUUUCAUUUAUGAAUUGUAAUCUGAAAUUCGGUUACAUAAAGGAGGAAUUGCUAGUAAUCGUAAACUAGAGUGUUACGGUGAAAUUUUUUGCUACUUCGUACUAACCACUCAUCAACAGCAAGAAAUUUUAUUUAUACUUAUUGAGUCUUUAUUAAAAGGACUUGCUGUAAGUUGAAAUACGGUUCGGUUAGGGGAACCUGAUCGGGAUUUAUUUAUUUA